This 641-nucleotide ribosomal RNA is filed under the name uncultured Microsporidium. Its description in RNAcentral is "bacterial SSU rRNA". It matches the Rfam family "Microsporidia small subunit ribosomal RNA", at positions 19 to 661 of the family's 1311-position model. The record is from RNAcentral. Lineage: Eukaryota; Fungi; Microsporidia.
UGACGUGGACGCUUGCCUUAGAGAUUAAGCCAUGCAAACUAUAUGCGAAGCGAAUGCGGAGCGGUAAACGGCUCAGUAGGACAGGGAGAUCUAACCACAGCAGAGGAUAACCGUGGAAACCUACGGCUAAUACUAAAGUGGGUGAAACCUUGGCCCAUCAGCCAGUCGGUACGAUAAGUGCGUACCGAGGCGUUUACGGGUAACGGAAAAUUGGGGUUUGAUUCCGGAGAGGGAGCCUGAGAAAUAGCUACUACGUCUAUGGACGGCAGCAGGUGCGAAAAUUACCCACUUGGAAUUCAGAGGUAGUUAAGAGGCAUAAUUUAUGAAGCUAGAGUAAAUAUCUAGCUGAAAGCAACUGGAGGGCAAGUCUGGUGCCAGCAGCCGCGGUAAUUCCAGCUCCAGGAGCGUCUGUGUGUAUUGCUGCGGUUAAAAAGUGCGUAGUCUGACAAAUGACUAGCAACAAAGGCUCAGUUUCUUGCUGUGCAUUAUGCUAGUAUGUAUGUCUUGGAACCGGGAUGAGACAAUGUUAUUUGGUGGCGAGGGGUGAAAACCAAUGACCCACUGAGGAGCAACAGAGGCGAAAGCAGUUGUCUAGAACGGGUUCGACGAUCAAGCACGUGAGCAGGAGGAUCAAAGGCGAU